CGAGCAUUAGCGCAGCCUGGUAGCGCAUCUGGUUUGGGACCAGAGGGUCGUAGGUUCGAAUCCUGCAUGCUCGACCA
Molecule: transfer RNA, 77 nt
Filed under: Cytophagaceae bacterium
Lineage: Bacteria; Pseudomonadati; Bacteroidota; Cytophagia; Cytophagales; Cytophagaceae
Description: tRNA-Pro
Rfam family: tRNA
About the family: Transfer RNA (tRNA) molecules are approximately 80 nucleotides in length. Their secondary structure includes four short double-helical elements and three loops (D, anti-codon, and T loops). Further hydrogen bonds mediate the characteristic L-shaped molecular structure. tRNAs have two regions of fundamental functional importance: the anti-codon, which is responsible for specific mRNA codon recognition, and the 3' end, to which the tRNAs corresponding amino acid is attached (by aminoacyl-tRNA synthetases). tRNAs cope with the degeneracy of the genetic code in two manners: having more than one tRNA (with a specific anti-codon) for a particular amino acid; and 'wobble' base-pairing, i.e. permitting non-standard base-pairing at the 3rd anti-codon position.
Source: RNAcentral